GAUUCCUUACAGGAAGUGGCCUGUCUGACCAUUUCUUGCCCUCCUUGAUCAUCUCUAACAAAUACAGGGGAUCUCUGGCAUGACGUGACACUUCCUACGGCUCCCAUGGGCUCUCAGAAGGCGGGAAAAAGCUGAACGAUGUAAUUCCAUCCCCAGGCUGAAACACAUUAGCGCGUUUGGCAAGUGCUCUAUCAGAGGGCCAUUAGACUGAGGCUCGUGCAUGAGGGGAUAGCAUGCUUUUACUUUCACUCUCUUUGUAAUAAAAAACGAUUUCCCAGUCAGAAUAUUAUCGCUUUUUUACGAGAAAAAUGGCAUAAAAAUAGAUUUUAAACAGCGGUUGACAUGCUUCGAAGUACGGUAAUGGAAUAUUUAGAACUUUUUUGUCACGAAAUGCGCCAUGCUCGUCACCCUUAUUUACCCUUUCGGAUAGUGUCUUGAACGCACGAACAAAACUCCGCUAUUUGGAUAUAACAAUGGAUUAUUUGGGACCAAACCAACAUUUGUUAUUGAAGUAGAAGUCCUGGGAGUGCAUUCUGAUGAAGAACAGCAAAGGUGAAGUACAGUAGAGGAUGUCAGGACAACAAGGCUGGACAAUCAAGGGUGGCUUGACCGGGUGGUUGAUGUACACAGGGACCGAGGAUUCCCCAGGCUGAGUGAUCCAGACCAUGAAAUGGCUGAGCCAGCCAUGAUACUGUUAUAUCGAGAAAACGGACUAAGAAUGGACUAAGAUUGAAUACAGGACUAAGAUUGAAUCGUACUACACCGGCUCCGACGCUCGCCAGACGUGGCAGGGCCUGCAAAUUAUUACAGACUACAAAGGGAAGCACAGCCGCGAGCUGCACAGUGACACGAGCCUACCAGAUGAGCUAAAUCACUUCUAUGCUUGCUUUGAGGCAAGCAACACUGAGGCAUGCAUGAGAACAUCAGCUGUUCCGGACAACUGUGAUCACGCUCUCCGUAGCCGAUGUGAGUAAGACCUGUAAACAGACAUUCACAAGGCCGCUGGGCCAGGCACAACUCCAACACCAUCAUUAAGUUUGCAGAUGACACAACAGUGGUAGUCCUGAUCACCGACAACGACAAGACAGCCUAUAGGGAGGAGGUCAGAGACCUGGCCGGGUGGUGCCAGAAUAACAACCUAUCCCUCAAUGUAAUCAAGACAAAGGAGCUGAUUGUGGAAUACAUGAAAAGGAGAACCGAGCACGCCCCCAUUCUCAUGGAUGGGGCUGUAGUGGAGCAGGUUGAGAGCUUCAAGUUCAAAGUCUAGGACCAAAAAACAGCUUUUACCCCCAAGCCAUAAGACUCCUGAACAGGUAAUCAAAUGGCUACCCGGACUAUUUGCAUUGUGUCCCCCCCCAAACCCCCAUCCCGCCAACCCCUCUUUUAUGCUGCUGCUACACUCUGUUUAUCAUCUAUGCAUAGUCACUUUAACUAUAUAUUCAUGUACAUAUUACCUCAAUUAGCCAGACUAACCGGUGCCCCCGCACAUUGGCUACCCAGACUAUUUGCAUUGUGUCCUGCCACCCCCCACCCGCCAACCCCUCUUUUACGCUGCUGCUACUCUCUGUUUAUCAUCUAUGCAUAGUCACUUUAACUAUACCUACAUGUACAUAUUACCUCAGUUUGCCCGACUAACCGGCACAUUGACUCUGUACCGGUUCCACCUGUAUAUAGCAACACUACUGUUAUUUUUGCUGUCAUUUUACAGUUUUUUAUUUCUUUACUUAUCUAUUGUUUACAUAAUACCUAUUUUUUACUUAAAAAUUGCACUGUUGGUUAG
This 1780-nucleotide long non-coding RNA is filed under the name Salmo salar (Atlantic salmon). Its description in RNAcentral is "lncRNA (ENSSSAG00000106733.1)". The record is from RNAcentral. Lineage: Eukaryota; Metazoa; Chordata; Actinopteri; Salmoniformes; Salmonidae.